This 231-nucleotide ribosomal RNA is filed under the name uncultured bacterium. RNAcentral's name for it is "partial 16S ribosomal RNA". It matches the Rfam family "Bacterial small subunit ribosomal RNA", at positions 103 to 334 of the family's 1533-position model. The record is from RNAcentral.
CGGGUGAGUAACACGUAUCCAACCUGCCGUCUACUCUUGGACAGCCUUCUGAAAGGAAGAUUAAUACAAGAUGGCAUCAUGAGUCCGCAUGUUCACAUGAUUAAAGGUAUUCCGGUAGACGAUGGGGAUGCGUUCCAUUAGGCAGUUGGUGAGGUAACGGCUCACCAAACCUUCGAUGGAUAGGGGUUCUGAGAGGAAGGUCCCCCACAUUGGAACUGAGACACGGUCCAA